RNAcentral lists this ribosomal RNA (255 nucleotides) under uncultured bacterium. Its description in RNAcentral is "partial small subunit ribosomal RNA". It matches the Rfam family "Bacterial small subunit ribosomal RNA", at positions 26 to 285 of the family's 1533-position model. The record is from RNAcentral.
AGGACGAACGCUGGCGGCGUGCUUAACACAUGCAAGUCGAGCGGAAAGGCCCUUCGGGGUACUCGAGCGGCGAACGGGUGAGUAACACGUGAGUAAUCUGCCCCUAGCUCUGGGAUAGCUCCGGGAAACCGGGAUUAAUACCGGAUACGACCACUUUAGACAUCUGUUGUGGUGGAAAGAAUUUUUGGCUAGGGAUGAGCUCGCGGCCUAUCAGCUUGUUGGUGGGGUAACGGCCUACCAAGGCGACGACGGGUA